Mastomys coucha (southern multimammate mouse) is the source of this 1836-nucleotide RNA transcript. It is a transcript of the gene named matrix remodeling associated 7, with no coding region annotated. NCBI's taxonomy places the organism in Eukaryota, Metazoa, Chordata, Mammalia, Rodentia, Muridae. The record is from RefSeq and is a predicted model, not a curated record. The transcript has 5 exons.
UGGCCUGACGGCGGGGCGCGGCGGGCUCCCUCGGGGUCCGUGCUGGCGGACACUCGGCGGCCACGGCGCGAUGGAGUCGCCAGUCGAGCUGCUGGCCGCGCUACCCGCGCUGGUCACGGUGCUGGCGCUGCUGCUCGCCUGGCUGCUGCUGCGGCGUGGGCCGGCCCCAGCCCCGGCCCCGGAGAGCACCCCGCCGGCCGAGGCCCCCGGGGCUCCCGCGCCGCCAGAGCCUCCCGAGCCCUGCGCCCCGGAGCCCGCACCGGCGGGACCGUGCCAGUCCGAGCCCGUGGCAGAGCCGGGGGAGUCCGAGGCGGAGGAGCCAGCGGCCGAGGGGAGGCAGGAGGAAGACUUGGACAGCGAGAUGGGGCCACCCACUGAAGAGCCUGAGGAAGAAGACGGAGCAGCCUUCUCCUUUAAGUACAGCCCUGGGCAGCUGAGGGGAAGCCAGUACAAGAAGAUGAUGACCAAAGAAGAACUGGAGGAGGAACAGAGGAUUGAGCUGACCUCUGACCUCACCUCCCUGUAGCGAGUCCCCUAGUCCCGGGCCACAAAUGUUCUCGCAAACCCUUGUGGUAAGGAGAACUGAAGAAUAAUGAAGGUGUCCCUAGACUCUUCCUGAAAGCUUUCCUUCCUUUUGACAUCCUAAAAGCUUGAGAGAUUUAAAAAAAAAAAAAAAAGCCGCCUCCUCCCCAGGAGCCAGUGCAGGCUGGGGUGGGGGAGGGGUGCACGGGGGCCGCCUCCUCCUUGGGCUCCUCUGGGCUAGCAAGAGCCUGGGACUGGCCUUGGCUCUGUCCUUCUCGGAGGGGCUUAUGAGGAGGAAGCCUGCCAAUUGUAUGGGCUCGGGCCUUGGGCUUUUCUUACCAGCCACGUUUGCUCCCCACACAGCCUUUGUACCCCUCCACGCACACCCUGUUCCCUCAGUCCCUCCGUGAUUUUUGUUCUCACUGAAGUCAAACUACCAGAUUUGAGAAGUGACGGACAAAGGAAGUGAAGCCCCACUGGUGCUCACUCGUGGCCGGGGGUGGUCACCCACACCCACAUACACGUGUGGGGCUGGGGCACUUUCCUCUCUGGCCGGAAUGAUUCAUGCCAGGUACUAGCUUUAAUAUGGCCUCCCUUCUUGCUCGCCCACACCGCAGGAGUCUGGGCUCCAGCCCUCUCUGUACUAAGGAGCCUUCCCAGUAGUGUUCUUACCAGCUCCACCUAGGCUCCACUUUCGCUUCCUGAAGCAGCCGCAGUGUUAGCAUCCAGUAGACGUCUGGAUUGCGCAUUUUCUAAGGUUUUUUUCUACAUGACUUAGAACCUCAGCAGAUAAUCAGUCACUCACCGUUCCCAGGUUAGUUUUUCUAGAAUUUUAUAUUUGACAGUACUUAUACCAAAUGACUUGGAAGUCAUAGACUUGUUAGCGAAAACAUUUUUUUUUUCUUUUUUUUUCUAAAGCACUAGGUUUUUAGAAGACUUCCUGUUUUACAGAAGCCUGGAAAAUGUCCAGCAUCGACUCCUAAGCCUGUACUCCUGGUGGUCUUCUCCUUGAUAACUCGGGUUCAGGGCUUAGGGCUGAACAGGCAAAAAGGCAGCGGCAAACACACACUGCCUUAGUUAGACGCAGAGCCACAUGACCAACACGGGCACACUCACGUGUCCCUAAAUGGCAAUAGCGAAGUCCCUGCCUAAGCCGGGAUUUCCUCCACAUAGAAUACCGACUUCCUCUGAAUACGGUUAGCUAGGCUUAUGUGGACCCUGAGCAUGGCAGCGGGCAGCAAGCCCCUGGCACUGCUGGUGGCUUGCCUCGCUGUGUUCAGCCUGUGUUCAGGCCAAUAAACAUUGAGUAGAGAA